CGAGCGUCCGGGCUUCAGUGGGCAUUAGCAGCAGCUGGGAGGCCUGUGAAAGGUUCCGGGGUGCCACCGCAGUCAUUCUGUUCAGUGGGUUUAGGGCUCCUCUAGGCCCAAUGGGUUGCUGGAUUUUUAAUAGCCACAAGAAACCAACGCUAACACAGUGUGAGCCUCUCAGCAGGUCUGUGCUGGGUAUUAAUUAAUGCCUAUGAACCAGCUCCUCCCCUCUUCCUGGGAUGCUUCCAUCCCAACCUCCAUUCCUGCCAUUAUCCUUCUACUUUCAGCUCAGAUAUCCCUUCCUCUGGGAAGCUCUCCUGACCUGACAGAAUUGACUUCUCCCUCGUGUGCUGUGCAGACGCUGUGCAGACUCCAGCCGGGUUCUUACCACUGCCGUCAUCAUACGGCCCACCUACCUCUAGACCGUGGGCACGAACUGUGUCUUGUUUCUCGCGUGUGUCUUGGGAUACAAAGCAACGUACCUGGCCAAACUGGCAUUGAGGAGGUAUCUGUUGGCUUAAAUGACUCGAGGUGGAGCCUCCCCGAAAGGAGAACCUAGGCAUCUCUUCCCCAUCACCCGCCUCACCAUGUCUAACAGGAUGUCCACUUUCAGCCGCAAGAGAUUGUUUUCUUCCUCCAGCUGCUGGUUCCGCCUGCGAAGGCGCUGGACCUCCCUCCGGUCCACACCUCCACUAACCCCUGUCUCUGGAGGAAGGACAGAACCAGUUAAAGGGGGGUUUCCUUCUACAACCCUGAUUGAUGAGAUGGCAGGAAGUGCAGCUCACCUGCUAUCCACUGGCCAUUUUCAAACUUCAGGCUCUGCCCUGCCAGGUUCAUAGUGGGGGAUCCAUAUUCCAAGCCCAGCUCCACCUCCCGGGUUGACCGGUCCAACUGUGGGCGAGACGCUAUGUGACAGCUUCAGCAGGCCCGGAACUUGCCCUCAUUCCAGCUCCUCUUCCCCUAACAAUGUAACCCACUAACUUAUUUUUCUAAUCAUUACCUGGCACCUUUAAUGAUUUUUGUAAAGGCCAUAAAAUCAGAUGAUGUACAGCAAAAGUUUAAUUACAAGAUAAAAAAAUACUGUUUUUUAUAUUAGAUGUUUUCUAGAAAAGGUAUAUAUACUGAAAUUUAUAAAUUGAAUUAUUUUACAUCUACUAGACACUUAAUAGUUGAAGCAAUCCUACUGUAAAUUGUUAAUCAAGUGAAAAAUCCUUUUUAAAUAUAAUAGUCCCCUAAGUUAUCAUUUUCUUAAUAUAGAGCUACAUAUGUUGUGGAAAAGAUGUGAAAUUCUAACA
Molecule: non-coding RNA, 1286 nt
Organism: Saimiri boliviensis boliviensis (Bolivian squirrel monkey)
Lineage: Eukaryota; Metazoa; Chordata; Mammalia; Primates; Cebidae
Source: RefSeq, a predicted model, not a curated record